This 879-nucleotide ribosomal RNA is filed under the name Russula laeta. Its description in RNAcentral is "eukaryotic LSU rRNA". It matches the Rfam family "Eukaryotic large subunit ribosomal RNA", at positions 74 to 931 of the family's 3401-position model. Lineage: Eukaryota; Fungi; Basidiomycota; Agaricomycetes; Russulales; Russulaceae. The record is from RNAcentral.
AUUCCCCUAGUAACUGCGAGUGAAGCGGGAAAAGCUCAAAUUUAAAAUCUGGUGGUCUUUGGCCAUCCGAGUUGUAAUUUAGAGAAGCGACUUCCGCGCUGGACCGUGCACAAGUCUCCUGGAAUGGAGCGUCAUAGAGGGUGAGAAUCCCGUCUUUGGCACGGACACACCAGGGCUUUUGUGAUGCGCUCUCGAAGAGUCGAGUUGUUUGGGAAUGCAGCUCAAAAUGGGUGGUGAACUCCAUCUAAAGCUAAAUAUUGGCGAGAGACCGAUAGCGAACAAGUACCGUGAGGGAAAGAUGAAAAGCACUUUGGAAAGAGAGUGAAACAGUACGUGAAAUUGUUGAAAGGGAAACGCUUGAAGUCAGUCGCGUCGACCGAGACUCAGCCUUGCCUUGGCUUGGUGUACUUCUCGGCCGACGGGUCAGCAUCGAUUUCGCCCCUUGGAUAAUGGCGAGGGAAAUGUGACACCUUUACGGUGUGUUAUAGUCUCUUGUCGCAUGCAAGGGUCGGGAUUGAGGAACUCAGCACGCACCUUUGGGUGUCGGGGCUUUGCCCACGAUACGUGCUUAGGAUGUUGGCGUAAUGGCUUUAAACGACCCGUCUUGAAACACGGACCAAGGAGUCUAACAUGCCUGCGAGUGUUCGGGUGGAAAACUCGUGCGCGCAAUGAAAGUGAAAGUUGGGACCUCUGUCGUGGAGGGCACCGACGCCCGGACCAGACCUUCUGUGACGGCUCUGCGGUAAAGCAUGUAUGUUAGGACCCGAAAGAUGGUGAACUAUGCCUGAAUAGGGUGAAGCCAGAGGAAACUCUGGUGGAGGCUCGUAGCGAUUCUGACGUGCAAAUCGAUCGUCAAAUUUGGGUAUAGGGGCGAAAGAC